RNAcentral lists this ribosomal RNA (433 nucleotides) under uncultured bacterium. Its description in RNAcentral is "partial 16S ribosomal RNA". It matches the Rfam family "Bacterial small subunit ribosomal RNA", at positions 29 to 507 of the family's 1533-position model. The record is from RNAcentral.
AACGAACGCUGGCGGCAUGCUUAACACAUGCAAGUCGAACGAGACCUCCGGGCUUAUUGGCGCUCGUCGGCGGACCACGGGGGGACUAGCCCUUAGGUACGGUACACCUGCCUGUAAGGGGUGUUAAGACCGGAGAAUGUCAUCGCAGCAAAGAUGUCUGGCUUUGGGCUGGGCCCUGGUUGGAUUAGCUAGUUGGUAGGGUAAUAGCCUGUCAAGGCGACGUUCCAUAGCUGGUCUGUGACCAUGCUCCGCCACACUGGGAAUGAGACACGGCCCAGACUCGUACGGAAGGGAGCAGUGGGGAAUAUUGGACGAGGGGCGAAGGUCUGAUCCAGCAAUGCGGCGUGAGUGAUGAAGGCCGUAGGGUUGUACAGCUCUUUUAGCCGGGAUGAUAGUGACAGUACCGGGAGAAUAAGCACCGGCUAACUACGUG